RNAcentral lists this ribosomal RNA (443 nucleotides) under uncultured bacterium. RNAcentral describes it as "partial 16S ribosomal RNA". It matches the Rfam family "Bacterial small subunit ribosomal RNA", at positions 338 to 795 of the family's 1533-position model. The record is from RNAcentral.
CCUACGGGAGGCAGCAGUGGGGAAUAUUGGGCAAUGGGCGCAAGCCUGACCCAGCAACGCCGCGUGAAGGAAGAAGGCCCUCGGGUUGUAAACUUCUUUUGUCAGGGACGAAGCAAGUGUCGGUACCUGACGAAUCAGCCACGGCUAACUACGUGCCAGCAGCCGCGGGAAUACGUGGGUGGAAAGCGUUAACCGGAUUUAGUGGGUGUAAAGGGCGUGUAGGCGGGGAAGCAAGUCAGAGGUGAAAUUCCAGGGCUCAACAUGGGAACUGCAUUUGAAACUGUUUUGCUUGAGUGAUGGAGAGGCAGGCGGAAUUCCGUGUGUAGCGGUGAAAUGCGUAGAUAUACGGAGGAACACCAGUGGCGAAGGCGGCCUGCUGGACAUUAACUGACGCUGAGGCGCGAAAGCGUGGGUAGCAAACAGGAUUAGAUACCCUAGUAGUC